RNAcentral lists this long non-coding RNA (360 nucleotides) under Mytilus galloprovincialis (Mediterranean mussel). The record is from RNAcentral. Lineage: Eukaryota; Metazoa; Mollusca; Bivalvia; Mytilida; Mytilidae.
UUAAUUUUUCAUAAAAUUUUGACAAAGUAUUUACUUUGACCCUUUGACAAAAAUAUAAAAAUUUCAAAACAUUUGAACCAACCGUUUUAUCAGAAAAAUUACACUGGUUAUAUAGCAGUUUGACAAACACUUAUUUUGAUCACUGAGAAGCUUAAUAUUCCCUCACCAACACAACGUAAUUAAAACGUUUAGCUGAUUUUACAGAGUUAUCUCCCUGUAGUGUUAGGUACCACCUUAAACUGUUAAUAAUUUUAGGAAUAGCCCGCCUCUUUCUUAAAAAUAUUGGACAGCUGUAGGUAGCAUAACUGAGACUUACAGAUACAUGAUAGUCCAAUUACUGAAAAGAAUAUCAAUUCCGCC